GAUCCUGGCUCAGGAUGAACGCUGGCGGCGUGCCUAACACAUGCAAGUCGAACGAAGCAUACAUUUUUGAAGUUUUCGGACAGAAAAGAGGUAUGACUUAGUGGCGGACGGGUGAGUAACGCGUGGGUAACCUGCCGUAUGCAGGGGGACAACAGUUGGAAACGACUGCUAAUACCGCAUAAGCGCACGCUAUCGCAUGAUAGAGUGUGAAAAGAUUUAUCGGCAUACGAUGGACCCGCGUCUGAUUAGGUAGUUGGUGAGGUAACGGCCCACCAAGCCGACGAUCAGUAGCCGACCUGAGAGGGUGACCGGCCACAUUGGGACUGAGACACGGCCCAAACUCCUACGGGAGGCAGCAGUGGGGAAUAUUGCACAAUGGGGGAAACCCUGAUGCAGCGACGCCGCGUGAGUGAAGAAGUAUUUCGGUAUGUAAAGCUCUAUCAGCAGGGAAGAAAAUGACGGUACCUGCAUAAGAAGCCCCGGCUAACUACGUGCC
This 496-nucleotide ribosomal RNA is filed under the name uncultured organism. Its description in RNAcentral is "SSU rRNA". It matches the Rfam family "Bacterial small subunit ribosomal RNA", at positions 15 to 509 of the family's 1533-position model. The record is from RNAcentral.